RNAcentral lists this ribosomal RNA (382 nucleotides) under uncultured eukaryote. RNAcentral describes it as "partial 18S ribosomal RNA". It matches the Rfam family "Eukaryotic small subunit ribosomal RNA", at positions 592 to 976 of the family's 1831-position model. The record is from RNAcentral.
CAAUAGCGUAUAUUAAAGUUGUUGCAGUUAAAAAGCUCGUAGUUAGAUCUCUGGUGAGAUGGAUUAUGUCUAGGUCGAAAGAUCUUGUUCAUGGUUCGUUUUGCCCUUCUUGUCAGGAACCCGCUGAGAUUCGCGUCUUGUCGGUGGAAUGGCAUCGUUUACUGUGAAAAAAUUAGAGUGUUCAAAGCAGGCAUCGCCGUUGAAUACAUUAGCAUGGAAUAAUAAGAUAAGACUUUGGUGGUCUAUUUUGUUGGUUUGCACGCCAAAGUAAUGAUUAAUAGGGAUAGUUGGGGGUAUUCGUAUUCUAUUGCUAGAGGUGAAAUUCUUAAAUUUAUGGAAGACGAACUACUGCGAAAGCAUUUACCAAGGAUGUUUUCAUUAA